Molecule: ribosomal RNA, 482 nt
Filed under: uncultured bacterium
Lineage: Bacteria
Description: partial 16S ribosomal RNA
Rfam family: Bacterial small subunit ribosomal RNA
Source: RNAcentral
GACGAACGCUGGCGGCGUGCUUAACACAUGCAAGUCGAACGAUGAAGCGGGUGCUUGCACUCGUGGAUUAGUGGCGAACGGGCGAGUAACACGUGAGUAACCUGUCCUUUUCUUUGGGAUAACGGCUGGAAACGGCUGCUAAUACUGGAUAUUCAGGCUGCAUCGCAUGGUGUGGUUUGGAAAGGUUUUUUCUGGGAUUGGGUGGGCUCGCGGCCUAUCAGCUUGUUGGUGGGGUGAUGGCUUACCAAGGCUUUGACGGGUAGCCGGCCUGAGAGGGUGGUCGGUCGCACUGGGACUGAGAUACGGCCCAGACUCCUACGGGAGGCAGCAGUGGGGAAUAUUGCACAAUGGACGAAAGUUUGAUGCAGCGACGCCGCGUGGAGGGUGUAGGCCUUCGGGUUGUGAACUCCUUUUUCUCGCGAAAAAGGCACAGUGUUGGCUGUGUUGAUGGUAGUGGGGGAAGAAGCGCCGGCUAACUACGU